This 473-nucleotide ribosomal RNA is filed under the name uncultured bacterium. RNAcentral describes it as "bacterial SSU rRNA". It matches the Rfam family "Bacterial small subunit ribosomal RNA", at positions 335 to 801 of the family's 1533-position model. The record is from RNAcentral.
ACUCCUACGGGAGGCAGCAGUAGGGAAUCUUCCACAAUGGGCGCAAGCCUGAUGGAGCAACACCGCGUGAGUGAAGAAGGGUUUCGGCUCGUAAAGCUCUGUUGUUAAAGAAGAACACGUAUGAGAGUAACUGUUCAUACGUUGACGGUAUUUAACCAGAAAGUCACGGCUAACUACGUGUCAGCAGCCGCGGUAAUACGUAGGUGGCAAGCGUUAUCCGGAUUUAUUGGGCGUAAAGAGAGUGCAGGCGGUUUUCUAAGUCUGAUGUGAAAGCCUUCGGCUUAACCGGAGAAGUGCAUCGGAAACUGGAUAACUUGAGUGCAGAAGAGGGUAGUGGAACUCCAUGUGUAGCGGUGGAAUGCGUAGAUAUAUGGAAGAACACCAGUGGCGAAGGCGGCUACCUGGUCUGCAACUGACGCUGAGACUCGAAAGCAUGGGUAGCGAACAGGAUUAGAUACCCUGGUAGGAUAGCC